GAUGAACGCUGGCGGCGUGCCUAAUACAUGCAAGUCGAGCGAACAGACGAGGAGCUUGCUCCUCUGACGUUAGCGGCGGACGGGUGAGUAACACGUGGAUAACCUACCUAUAAGACUGGGAUAACUUCGGGAAACCGGAGCUAAUACCGGAUAAUAUAUUGAACCGCAUGGUUCAAUAGUGAAAGACGGUUUUGCUGUCACUUAUAGAUGGAUCCGCGCCGCAUUAGCUAGUUGGUAAGGUAACGGCUUACCAAGGCGACGAUGCGUAGCCGACCUGAGAGGGGGAUCGGCCACACUGGAAGUGAGACACGGUCCAGACUCCUACGAGAGGCAGCAGUAGGGAAUCUUCCGCAAUGGGAGAAAGCCUGACGGAGCAACGCCGCGUGAGUGAUGAAGGUCUUCGGAUCGUAAAACUCUGUUAUUAGGGAAGAACAAAUGUGUAAGUAACUAUGCACGUCUUGACGGUACCUAAUCAGAAAGCCACGGCUAACUACGUG
RNAcentral lists this ribosomal RNA (497 nucleotides) under uncultured bacterium. RNAcentral describes it as "partial 16S ribosomal RNA". It matches the Rfam family "Bacterial small subunit ribosomal RNA", at positions 28 to 507 of the family's 1533-position model. The record is from RNAcentral.